CAAUAGCGUAUAUUAAAGUUGUUGCGGUUAAAAAGCUCGUAGUUGGAUUUCUGCCGAGGACGACCGGUCCGCCCUCUGGGUGUGUAUCUGGCUCGGCCUGGGCAUCUUCUUGGAGAACGUAUCUGCACUUGACUGUGUGGUGCGGUAUCCAGGACUUUUACUUUGAGGAAAUUAGAGUGUUUCAAGCAGGCAUACGCCUUGAAUACAUUAGCAUGGAAUAAUAAGAUAGGACCUCGGUUCUAUUUUGUUGGUUUCUAGAGCUGAGGUAAUGAUUAAGAGGGGACAGUACGGGGGCAUUCGUAUUACGGUGUUAGAGGUGAAUACUUGGAUCGCGUAAGACGAACUACUGCGAAAGCAUUUGCCAAGAAUGUUUUCAUUAAUCAGAACGAAAGUCAGAGUUCGAAGACGAUCAGAUACCGU
Molecule: ribosomal RNA, 420 nt
Filed under: uncultured eukaryote
Lineage: Eukaryota
Description: SSU rRNA
Rfam family: Eukaryotic small subunit ribosomal RNA
Source: RNAcentral